GAUGAACGCUAGCUACAGGCUUAACACAUGCAAGUCGAGGGGUAACGAGAGGAAAGCUUGCUUUCCUUGUCGACGACCGGCGCACGGGUGAGUAACGCGUAUCCAACCUGCCCCCAACUAGGGAAUAACCUUGCGAAAGUAAGACUAAUACCCUAUAAUUUCCUCAGAUGUCAUCUGACGAGGAAUAAAGCUUUAUCGGUUGUGGAUGGGGAUGCGUCUGAUUAGCUUGUUGGCGGGGUAACGGCCCACCAAGGCAACGAUCAGUAGGGGUUCUGAGAGGCAGGUCCCCCACAUUGGAACUGGGACACGGUCCAAACUCCUACGGUAGGCAGCAGUGAGGAAUAUUGUUCAAUGGGCGGAAGCCUGAACCAGCCAAGUAGCGUGCAGGAUGCCGGCCCUAUGGGUUGUAAACUGCUUUUAUACAGGAAUAAAGUUAGCCAAGUGUGGUUAUUUGUAGGUACUGUAUGAAUAAGGACCGGCUAAUUCCGUGCCAGCCGCCGCAGUAA
This 506-nucleotide ribosomal RNA is filed under the name uncultured bacterium. Its description in RNAcentral is "partial 16S ribosomal RNA". It matches the Rfam family "Bacterial small subunit ribosomal RNA", at positions 28 to 523 of the family's 1533-position model. The record is from RNAcentral.